This is a long non-coding RNA of Papaver somniferum (opium poppy), 4346 nucleotides long. RefSeq lists it as uncharacterized. Lineage: Eukaryota; Viridiplantae; Streptophyta; Magnoliopsida; Ranunculales; Papaveraceae. The record is from RefSeq and is a predicted model, not a curated record. The transcript is spliced from 5 exons.
AUAUGAAAAUGAAUUCAAUCAAGCUAUAUUAAUCUGCAUAUUAACACAAAAAAAAAAUGAAAACUUACCGUGAUAUAAACCACAUAAACAACAUAACCAGACAUGGUUAGAUCAUGCAUAUUACAAGAAUUUAAAAAUAUAAAUAAAUACAACAUAAAACAAAGAUCAAGAGUAUAAAACACAGUGUGGCUAAGUUUUCGAGUGUUAGUGGAGGUUCAGAUUUGUCCUCCUAUCUACGGAUGUUAGGUGAUGUUUAGGCGUGAUCCAGACUAUGGCUCAGAUGCGUGGCUUAGGUGAUGUUUCCGCUCCCCACUUUUCAUAGCCCAAACUGGGAAGGAGAGGUAGAUCGUCGAUUCCAAUUCCAAGAGAAAGAUCAGUAUUAUGAACUAUGAGAACGCUUCAGUUUCCCUCUACUGGAGACGGAAAGAUCAAUGAAGAAAACCUCUCUCUUAACAAGAGUUUGAAUCUAGAGUUUAAACUGGUUUGUGUUGCUUAGAUUUACAAAAAUCACUAACUUUAUUCUAUUUUUCUUGCUUUUGGUUUUCUGUACUUUAUAGAAGUUAGGGUUUUCAUAUUUAGGAAUUUAUUGAAAAUCAAUCAGUACUAUAUUUCACUGUCGAUUUAUUGACCAAAUUCAUAAUAUCCUGUUAUUUGUUUAUAUUUAUAGUGAUUAAUUUGUAUUUGUUUCCUUCACUGAUUAUAGGGUCAAACUAUGUUGUGAUUAAGGUGCUGUGUGAUUGCUAUUUAUGUUUCCUGUUUUAAAGUAUAUGCAUAUUGCUACAAAGUAGUCUUCGUUGUUAAUCUAGUAUCUCUAAACAUCUUUAUCUUGCAGAUUGAAGCUCAUUGCAAUAGUAAUGCUGUCGAGUUUCAAAGUAAUCUGUGACUCUGUUCGCAAUACUGAUUUUGGUGAAACUACAAUAACCAUGCUAAUAUGGUCAGUUUAAGAGAUACAGAUGGUAUCUCAUCCAUAUGAUGUUCCAAAUCUGGUACUGGAAGUAUUUCAGAAGGAAACUUUUAUCUCAAAAAUAAGUAUGCAGUUCAUUGCGGCAGAAAUACAUGAUAAAGAACGCAGAACUUUUAAAAGCGUGCAAAUGAAGAAAACAGGCAUUUUUUAGUUUUUUAUCAUCCUUUAUUUGGGAAUGCUAUUGUGGUUUUUGAAUCAUUGAUAAUGGUGAUUGUUUGUGGGUGGGACUGUGGUAGUAUGAGUGACUGAGACAUGAGGCUGAGAGGUAAUGCAGUAGCAUGCUCCAUACUUUUUUGUCUACACAUGCUCAAUGUGAUGUUUCCACUCCCUUAAAUCCUAAUGAGCAAAUGAAAAUCAGAGUUAAGUACUUAAGUUUAAGAUUAGAAACGAGAGAAAAUGAGAGAUAUGGAGGCGAAACUAUUUAGUUUCUUCACUAAGUGUAGAGAUUUCAUCAUCGUUUAUAAAAAAAAUUUGUUUUAUGUUGUUGUUUUUUUUACAAGAUUUUGGUUAGGUUAAUUGAAGGGGUUUAUUAUUGUUUUUCCCCCCUAAUUUUUCUUCUGUUUCAGUCUUCGCCGAGGAAGCUUUCAUCGUUCUGUUUCUUCUUCCAUAUUAUUCUCAAUUAUGUAAGGUGUAUGACAUCCAGCGCGGUUGAGGCAAUUGAAUCAAUUCGAAGAACAUCACUUUUGAAGUCUUUAAACACAAUUGCCAUGUAAAAAUUCUUCUGACCAAGUCCAACACACUCCAGAUUUGCGAUCUCAGUCUCAUUUAAGGACACCACUAACAAAGGUGUUCCAAUAAGCUCCACAGGAAAGUUGACGUUGGACAAUAACGGACGAUACCUUUGAAAGGCACACCGCGGAAGCCAAGCUCCCUAAGUGGCUGGUCAAACUCAAAUUCCAUCCCUCUGAACUGCGGUUGCCCUUUGUUUCCUUUAUUUUGUGCUGCAAGAAUUAAUGGCGUAUAUGGAAAAAUGAAAAGCAUUCUGAACAAUCCGUCAGGAGCAGUAAUUUCUCAACGAGCAAGAGAGAACAACACAAAGAAAGCUAUGUUUGCACUAAUGGAAGGUUUGGCUAAUUUCAUGGGUUUGACCUAAAGCCUCUGGAUGCUUCAAUUGAAGCUUCUGUUCAAGUUUUCUGUACAUUCAUCUCAUAAUUUUUUAUUUUCAUGUCACAUAUAAUCUAUGGUUAGUGAUGAUCAUUUGCACCUUUUACUUCAAUCUCGUUGUUUGGAGGUUAAAGAUCAUAUAUUCUACAUUCCUAAAUCAGUAUUCCUUCAUGUUUAUUAAUUAUGUAUAUGUUUGUAUGUCGUUGGAGGGUGUCAUUUGAUCCUAUGUUUGUGUCGACCACAUAGGUAAUUGGUGCUGGACCUCAAAUACUGCCACCGGCAAGUAAAGAAGUGGUCAAGAAGCUUCCCGUAACGACUGUAGCGAUAUUGAUGAGACUUCAUAAUAACACAAAGUCCUCUGUUUGUCAAUAGGAAUUGGUCAUCAAUGACUAGAUGCUGGAGUUACCUUGCAAACAUUUCUAAUUAUUCUUUCUUAAUUUGUUGAAGGAAUUUAAAAGUAGUCGAAUUCAAUGCUGAGUACGAGAAACCAGUCUUGGAUUCUGGAAAGGAAAGAGAUUGAUCAAUCAACAAUCCACAAGUUGCUCUACAAAUGAGGAGCUCCCUUGCAAUAUUGUUUACAGUAUACCAGUUGGUGCAAUCUACUGUGAAAAUAUCUAACAAGUAGAAUUUGGUGUUUCCUUUCACGCGGAAUCAAUGGGUCUUCUUCUUCUUCAAAAGGUGAGUUUAACAUAUGCGGUCUUCUUAGACUUAAGGUUUGAAUUUUGGUAAUUAGGAGGUCUUAUUUUGUCUUGCACUUUUUUCUGGACAACUGAAUUUGUAAAUUUAAGUUUUGAACCAUGUUCCUUUUGGUUUUAUAUCGACACUAAAAUAGCAAUAGUACUCACAGACGACUCCAAUGAACCUAAGUUUGGAAUUGUAGGCACAAUGGGGCCGGUUUGAGGCUUUGUUGCUGUUGCACCUAGGUUUGUUUCGUUAACUCUGUUUGUUGAUUGCAUUCACUAAUUUGGCAUCAUGACAUGCUUGCUUGAAAGAGAAUAUAUCAAUCCUAACAACCCAUCAAUUAGCACUAAACUAUGCUAAUUAAACCUCAUACACUUCCAGAACACACCCAAAAUACAAUAAAGCAACUACGGAAACUAAGGAAAAUUAAAAAUAUAUGGUUAGCUGAGUCACAAUAACAACCGCACCAAAAAUUCGUUGUGUAUAGUCUUUGGAUGUAUUCUCUUUGAUAUGUAUUCCUUAGGUUGACUUUGGUUCAUGGAUGACCAUAUUUCUUUGGUACAUAUGUCAAGCUUAUUUGUAUUUUGGUCUUAUUACAAAUUUGGCUUACAGAUGAUUGGUUUGGUACAUCCAGUUUUACCUACCAAGAUUUGUACAUUCCAAAAUUUUAGGGGCUCAAAGGUGUGUAAGUUGCAUAACAAAUGUAUUUUACAAUAUAUUUGCAUUCAUAUAUUUUAACGAUGAGCGGGGUGCUGAAAGUGUCAUCGGCAACCCAGAUAAUACCUUGCUUAUUCUAUAAGAGCAAUCAUGACUAAAUUAUCAUCAUCAUUCUGUAAGUUUUACACCAAUUUAGUUUAGUGAAUUCAGCAAAACCAUGACCAAUUGUUUUGUUGAGUCAGGGUUAUUAAGUGUCUUAGACUCAUUAAUGUCUGAGGUUCAUCGAGGUUCAUUACAGGUAUGAACAAUAAAAUAAAUGACCAUUCAACAAUAUCCUAACAUUCUUGCUUCCUGACACUCAAUUGCCCAUUAGGUAUUGUGAUGGCGCAUCCAAAAAUGUCAUCAUUUGAGUCCCAAAUCAUAAAUGACAGAAUUGUUGAACAAGUAUGUCAGUUGUUCCUGCCGUGUAAUGAAAUUAUGCAAACAAAUUUGAUCUUUGUCACCCAUUUUUAGAGCCACUCCUUUGCUAAACCACCGGUUAAAGAGAAACCCCACCAACUCUUUGUCGGGAUGGAACGUGGUAUUCAAUCCGCAGAAUGUAUCCUCCCCCUUAAUUAAAGUAUCGUAUUUGAGGGAGAGAUGGAUCUAAUAAUAUGUGAAGGGACCCAACUUCUUUUUUUGCCAUUAGACAUCAGUAUAGGACUAUUUUCUCAUUAUUUGUCAAUUGUAAUUAUAAUUAUUGCCAAAAUUAUUUAGAUAACAUGAGUCAUGAGUACUUUUUCUUAUUGAUUUAAACCUUGACCAAAUCUUUGGAGCACGUCCAAUGCUAUGGGCGAGGAUCUUAAAUGAAGCAUGUCACCUGGGAUCCAAGACAUUUUCAAGCAAAAAUACGUCUCCAAUGACUUAGCUAUUUGUCCAUUUGAUUUUAUCUGAAAUUAAA